UUCAGACCUCAAAUCAA
RNAcentral lists this ribosomal RNA (17 nucleotides) under Ruinenia diospyri. RNAcentral's name for it is "partial 26S rRNA". The record is from RNAcentral. Lineage: Eukaryota; Fungi; Basidiomycota; Agaricostilbomycetes; Agaricostilbales; Ruineniaceae.